RNAcentral lists this ribosomal RNA (501 nucleotides) under uncultured bacterium. Its description in RNAcentral is "partial 16S ribosomal RNA". It matches the Rfam family "Bacterial small subunit ribosomal RNA", at positions 30 to 523 of the family's 1533-position model. The record is from RNAcentral.
AUUGAACGCUGGCGGCAGGCUUAACACAUGCAAGUCGAGCGGAGUGAUGGUGCUUGCACUAUCACUUAGCGGCGGACGGGUGAGUAAUGCUUAGGAAUCUGCCUAUUAGUGGGGGACAACAUUCCGAAAGGAAUGCUAAUACCGCAUACGUCCUACGGGAGAAAGCAGGGGAUCUUCGGACCUUGCGCUAAUAGAUGAGCCUAAGUCGGAUUAGCUAGUUGGUGGGGUAAAGGCCUACCAAGGCGACGAUCUGUAGCGGGUCUGAGAGGAUGAUCCGCCACACUGGGACUGAGACACGGCCCAGACUCCUACGGGAGGCAGCAGUGGGGAAUAUUGGACAAUGGGGGAAACCCUGAUCCAGCCAUGCCGCGUGUGUGAAGAAGGCCUUAUGGUUGUAAAGCACUUUAAGCGAGGAGGAGGCUACUUAGAUUAAUACUCUGGGAUAGUGGACGUUACUCGCAGAAUAAGCACCGGCUAACUCUGUGCCAGCCGCCGCAGUAA